This 358-nucleotide ribosomal RNA is filed under the name Agabus heydeni. RNAcentral's name for it is "partial 12S ribosomal RNA". Lineage: Eukaryota; Metazoa; Arthropoda; Insecta; Coleoptera; Dytiscidae. The record is from RNAcentral.
AUUAUUUUAAAUGUAAAAUUUAUAUACUAAAUUAUUAAUAGUUAUGUUCUUUAAAUUUAAAGAUUUUGGCGGUAUUUUAGUCUAUUCAGAGGAACCUGUUCUAUAAUUGAUAAUCCACGAUUAAUUAUACUUAAUUUAAAAAUUUGUAUAUCGUUGUUUAUAAAUAAUUUUAAAAGAAUUUAAAUUUUUAAGAUUUUAAAUUAGAAAAUAUAUCAGAUCAAGGUGCAGUUUAUAUUUAAGUAGUAAUGGGUUACAAUAAAUUUAUUUAUAUGGAUUUAUAUAUUAAAUUAUAUAAUAAAGGUGGAUUUGAUUGUAAUAAAAUUAAAUUUAAUUUUAUGAUUUUAGCUCUAAAAUAUGU